Podarcis lilfordi (Lilford's wall lizard) is the source of this 69-nucleotide non-coding RNA. NCBI's taxonomy places the organism in Eukaryota, Metazoa, Chordata, Lepidosauria, Squamata, Lacertidae. The record is from the annotation of a GenBank genome assembly.
GGAUAGCUCAGUCUGUAGAGCAUGAGACUCUUCAUCUCAGGGUCUUGGGUUUGAACCCCAUCUUGGGCA